This 1404-nucleotide ribosomal RNA is filed under the name Triticum aestivum (bread wheat). Its description in RNAcentral is "partial small subunit ribosomal RNA". The record is from RNAcentral. Lineage: Eukaryota; Viridiplantae; Streptophyta; Magnoliopsida; Poales; Poaceae.
AUGAACGUCGCCGGCCCCGCCACCGCUUUCGUGCCGACCGCCAGGCCAGCGCCCCGCGCCCCGCGGCCGCUCUGGCGCCCCAGCGCCCGCUGCAACCUGAGCCCACGCGCCGCCACCGAGCCGCCGCCGGCGGCGCCCGUCUACGCCCCCACUCCGCGGGAUCGGCCUCUGCGGACGCCGCACAGCGGGUAUCACUAUGAUGGAACCGCCAGGGCUUUCUUUGAAGGAUGGUACUUCAAGGUCUCCAUUCCAGAAUGCAGGCAGAGCUUCUGUUUCAUGUACUCUGUUGAGAACCCAUUCUUUCGUGAUGGGAUGACUGCUCUCGACCAGACAUUGUAUGGUCCACGGUUUACCGGUGUGGGAGCGCAGAUUCUUGGUGCGGAUGACAAGUACAUAUGCCAGUUCUCUGAAAAAUCAAACAACUUUUGGGGGAGUCGACAUGAGCUAAUUCUCGGAAACACUUUCAUUCCCAAUAAAGGCUCAACUCCCCCGGAGCGUGAAAUCCCUCCUCAGGAAUUUUCUAAUCGCGUUUUGGAAGGCUACCAAGUCACACCAACUUGGCAUCAGGGCUUCAUACGUGAUGACGGAAGGUCAAAGUAUGUGCCAAACGUCCAAACAGCUCGUUGGGAGUACAGCACCCGUCCAGUGUAUGGCUGGGGUGAUUUCACAUCUAAGCAGAAGUCAACAGCUGGUUGGCUUGCUGCUUUUCCAUUCUUUGAACCUCAUUGGCAGAUAUGCAUGGCAGGUGGCCUAUCCACAGGAUGGAUAGAAUGGGAUGGAGAACGGUUUGAAUUUGAAAAUGCUCCCUCCUACUCAGAGAAGAACUGGGGUGGGGGGUUCCCCAGGAAGUGGUACUGGAUCCAGUGUAAUGUCUUCUCAGGCACAUCUGGUGAAGUUGCUUUAACUGCUGCUGGUGGAUUAAGGAAAAUUGGAUUGGGAGAUACCUACGAGAGUCCUUCACUGAUUGGUGUCCAUCACGAGGGAAAAUUUUACGAGUUUGUGCCUUGGACUGGGACAGUAAGCUGGGACAUUGCUCCUUGGGGUCACUGGAGGAUGUCUGGCGAGAACAAAAAUCAUCUGGUCGAAAUAGAAGCAACCACCAAAGAACCGGGGACCGCUUUGCGAGCCCCAACAAUGGAGGCUGGAUUGGUACCAGCAUGCAAAGACACAUGUUAUGGAGAUCUCAAGCUGCAAAUGUGGGAAAAGAAAUACGAUGGGAGCAAAGGGAAGAUAGUACUUGACACUACAAGCAACAUGGCAGCGGUGGAAGUUGGGGGAGGUCCCUGGUUCAACGGGUGGAAAGGCACGACCGCUUCGCCUGAGCUUGUGAAUAACAUCGUUGGUACUCAGAUCGACGUGGAGAGCCUGUUCCCAAUUCCAUUUCUCAAGCCCCCUGGUCUGUAG